This 917-nucleotide long non-coding RNA is filed under the name Nicotiana benthamiana. RNAcentral describes it as "long non-coding RNA (NBEN_LNC011168)". The record is from RNAcentral. Lineage: Eukaryota; Viridiplantae; Streptophyta; Magnoliopsida; Solanales; Solanaceae.
CUCCUUCUUCGCGACCGGAGAAGAUCGGCCUUCAAUCAACAGAGAAAACCCUAGGUCCAACACCGGAAACCCUAGGUUCUGAAACUCACCGGAAUAAGGUCACAGACGCCGGAAAGUUACCCAAAACGUCCAUCAAGCGAAGAAAAAAGUCAUCAGAUAACACCAAAACUCUAGGUCCGAAAGUCGGAAACCCUAGAAUUUGAAGAACUCGUCCGAACAAAGUCAGAGAUAUCGAAAAAUCACCCAAAACAUCUACUGAUACAGGAUCGGAGCCUCAAACAGUCAGAAAAGUCCCGAUUAACCGAUUAACAUUCAUCGAAAAAAUAUACGAACAGUAUUUUUCUCAGAUAACCGAAGAAAAACUUCAGCGAAAGCUUCAUCAAGUAUCGAUAACACGUAACAAAGAAGGAUCAUCNNNNNNNNNNNNNNNNNNNNNNNNNNNNAACUCUAGGUCCGAAAGUCGGAAAACCCUAGAAUUUGAAGAACUCGUCGGAACAAAGUCAGAGAUAUCGAAAAAUCACCCAAAACAUCUACUGAUACAGGAUCGGAGCCUCAAACAGUCAGAAAAGUCCCGAUUAACCGAUUAACAUGCAUCGGAAAAAAAAUAUACGAACAGUAUUUUUCUCAGAUAACCGAAGAUAAAACUUUAGCAAAAGCUUCAUCAAGUAUCGAUAACACAUAACAGAGAAAGAUCGGAAGAUUUUCCCGCUCUGAUACCAUGAAAACAUGAAGAAUUAAAGAUGAAAAUCAGAGAAGAUGAAUCGAUAACACAUAACAGAGAAAGAUCGGAAGAUUUUCCCGCUCUGAUACCAUGAAAACAUGAAGAUUUAAAGAUGAAAAUCAGAGAAGAUGAAGAUGAACAGCAAGAGAGACAGAGAGAGAAACGGAAGCUUCUGGAGAAAGCCAGAAGACAAAUG